Molecule: ribosomal RNA, 255 nt
Filed under: uncultured Actinomycetes bacterium
Lineage: Bacteria; Bacillati; Actinomycetota; Actinomycetes
Description: uncultured actinobacterium partial 16S ribosomal RNA
Rfam family: Bacterial small subunit ribosomal RNA
Source: RNAcentral
GACGAACGCUGGCGGCGCGCCUAACACAUGCAAGUCGAGCGAGAACCAGGGCUUCGGCCCUGGGGACAGCGGCGAACGGGUGAGUAACACGUGGGUAAUCUGCCCUCGGCACCGGAAUAGCCCGGGGAAACCCGGAUUAAUGCCGGAUGGCCCCUCUGCCCUGCGGGGCGAAGGGAAAAGGUAGCUUCGGCCUCCGGCCGAGGAUGAGCCCGCGGUGGAUUAGCUUGUUGGCGGGGUAAUGGCCCACCAAGGCGA